GACGAACGCUGGCGGCGUGCUUAACACAUGCAAGUCGAACGGAAAGGCCCUGCUUUUGUGGGGUGCUCGAGUGGCGAACGGGUGAGUAACAAGUGAGUAACCUGCCCUUGACUUUGGGAUAACUUCAGGAAACUGGGGCUAAUACCGGAUAGGAGCUCCUGCUGCAUGGUGGGGGUUGGAAAGUUUCGGCGGUUGGGGAUGGGCUCGCGGCUUAUCAGCUUGUUGGUGGGGUAGUGGCUUACCAAGGCUUGGACGGGUAGCCGGCCUGAGAGGGUGACCGGCCACAUGGGGACAGAGAUACGGCCCAGACUCCUACGGGAGGCAGCAGUGGGAAUAUUGCACAAUGGGCGGAAGCCUGAUGCAGCAACGCCGCGUGCGGGAUGACGGCCUUCGGGUGGUAAACCGCUUUCGCCUGUGACGAAGCGUGAGUGACGGUAAUGGGUAAAGAAGCACCGGCUAACUACGUG
RNAcentral lists this ribosomal RNA (467 nucleotides) under uncultured bacterium. RNAcentral describes it as "partial 16S ribosomal RNA". It matches the Rfam family "Bacterial small subunit ribosomal RNA", at positions 28 to 507 of the family's 1533-position model. The record is from RNAcentral.